AAGCGCAUGUAGGGGCCUUUUAANUCANUCGUGAAAUGCGUGNUNACCCCCGUAUGGCGAUUGAAACCGGAAGGCUUGAGUGCAGGAGAGGAAAGGGGAACUCCCAGUGUAGCGGUGAAAUGCGUAGAUAUUGGGAAGAACACCAGUGGCGAAGGCGCCUUUCUGGACUGUGUCUGACGCUGAGAUGCGAAAGCCAGGGUAGCAAACGGGAUUAGAUACCCCGGUAGUCCUGGCCGUAAAC
RNAcentral lists this ribosomal RNA (241 nucleotides) under uncultured bacterium. RNAcentral's name for it is "partial 16S ribosomal RNA". It matches the Rfam family "Bacterial small subunit ribosomal RNA", at positions 563 to 807 of the family's 1533-position model. The record is from RNAcentral.